CUCCCUACGGGGGGCAGCAGUGGGGAAUAUUGCACAAUGGGGGAAACCCUGAUGCAGCGACGCCGCGUGAGUGAUGAAGUAUUUCGGUAUGUAAAGCUCUAUCAGCAGGGAAGAUAAUGACGGUACCUGACUAAGAAGCUCCGGCUAAAUACGUGCCAGCAGCCGCGGUAAUACGUAUGGAGCAAGCGUUAUCCGGAUUUACUGGGUGUAAAGGGAGCGCAGACGGCAGGGCAAGUCUGAUGUGAAAGUCCGGGGCUCAACCCCGGCGAGCCGUUGAAACUGGCUGUCUUGAGAUGGCGAGAGGG
Molecule: ribosomal RNA, 305 nt
Filed under: uncultured bacterium
Lineage: Bacteria
Description: bacterial SSU rRNA
Rfam family: Bacterial small subunit ribosomal RNA
Source: RNAcentral